RNAcentral lists this ribosomal RNA (1532 nucleotides) under Klebsiella variicola. Its description in RNAcentral is "bacterial SSU rRNA". It matches the Rfam family "Bacterial small subunit ribosomal RNA". Lineage: Bacteria; Pseudomonadati; Pseudomonadota; Gammaproteobacteria; Enterobacterales; Enterobacteriaceae. The record is from RNAcentral.
AGAGUUUGAUCAUGGCUCAGAUUGAACGCUGGCGGCAGGCCUAACACAUGCAAGUCGAGCGGUAGCACAGAGAGCUUGCUCUCGGGUGACGAGCGGCGGACGGGUGAGUAAUGUCUGGGAAACUGCCUGAUGGAGGGGGAUAACUACUGGAAACGGUAGCUAAUACCGCAUAACGUCGCAAGACCAAAGUGGGGGACCUUCGGGCCUCAUGCCAUCAGAUGUGCCCAGAUGGGAUUAGCUAGUAGGUGGGGUAACGGCUCACCUAGGCGACGAUCCCUAGCUGGUCUGAGAGGAUGACCAGCCACACUGGAACUGAGACACGGUCCAGACUCCUACGGGAGGCAGCAGUGGGGAAUAUUGCACAAUGGGCGCAAGCCUGAUGCAGCCAUGCCGCGUGUGUGAAGAAGGCCUUCGGGUUGUAAAGCACUUUCAGCGGGGAGGAAGGCGGUGAGGUUAAUAACCUCAUCGAUUGACGUUACCCGCAGAAGAAGCACCGGCUAACUCCGUGCCAGCAGCCGCGGUAAUACGGAGGGUGCAAGCGUUAAUCGGAAUUACUGGGCGUAAAGCGCACGCAGGCGGUCUGUCAAGUCGGAUGUGAAAUCCCCGGGCUCAACCUGGGAACUGCAUUCGAAACUGGCAGGCUAGAGUCUUGUAGAGGGGGGUAGAAUUCCAGGUGUAGCGGUGAAAUGCGUAGAGAUCUGGAGGAAUACCGGUGGCGAAGGCGGCCCCCUGGACAAAGACUGACGCUCAGGUGCGAAAGCGUGGGGAGCAAACAGGAUUAGAUACCCUGGUAGUCCACGCUGUAAACGAUGUCGAUUUGGAGGUUGUGCCCUUGAGGCGUGGCUUCCGGAGCUAACGCGUUAAAUCGACCGCCUGGGGAGUACGGCCGCAAGGUUAAAACUCAAAUGAAUUGACGGGGGCCCGCACAAGCGGUGGAGCAUGUGGUUUAAUUCGAUGCAACGCGAAGAACCUUACCUGGUCUUGACAUCCACAGAACUUUCCAGAGAUGGAUUGGUGCCUUCGGGAACUGUGAGACAGGUGCUGCAUGGCUGUCGUCAGCUCGUGUUGUGAAAUGUUGGGUUAAGUCCCGCAACGAGCGCAACCCUUAUCCUUUGUUGCCAGCGGUCCGGCCGGGAACUCAAAGGAGACUGCCAGUGAUAAACUGGAGGAAGGUGGGGAUGACGUCAAGUCAUCAUGGCCCUUACGACCAGGGCUACACACGUGCUACAAUGGCAUAUACAAAGAGAAGCGACCUCGCGAGAGCAAGCGGACCUCAUAAAGUAUGUCGUAGUCCGGAUUGGAGUCUGCAACUCGACUCCAUGAAGUCGGAAUCGCUAGUAAUCGUAGAUCAGAAUGCUACGGUGAAUACGUUCCCGGGCCUUGUACACACCGCCCGUCACACCAUGGGAGUGGGUUGCAAAAGAAGUAGGUAGCUUAACCUUCGGGAGGGCGCUUACCACUUUGUGAUUCAUGACUGGGGUGAAGUCGUAACAAGGUAACCGUAGGGGAACCUGCGGUUGGAUCACCUCCUU